This 459-nucleotide ribosomal RNA is filed under the name uncultured bacterium. RNAcentral describes it as "bacterial SSU rRNA". It matches the Rfam family "Bacterial small subunit ribosomal RNA", at positions 8 to 466 of the family's 1533-position model. The record is from RNAcentral.
AGAGUUUGAUCCUGGCUCAGAAUGAACGCUGGCGGCGUGCCUAACACAUGCAAGUCGGAUGUGCCGCAAGGUGCAUGGCAGACGGGUGAGUAACGCGUGGGGAAUCUACCUCUUUGUGGGGAAUAACGCUCCGAAAGGAGUGGUAAUACCGCAUGAGACCUUCGGCUGGGAUGCUGGAGGUGAAACCUGGGGACCGCAAGGCCUGGGGCAAGGAGAGGAUCCUGCGUCUGAUUAGCUAGUUGGCGGGGUAAUGGCCCACCAAGGCGACGAUCAGUAGCCGGCCUGAGAGGGUGAUCGGCCACACUGGAACUGAGACACGGUCCAGACUCCUACGGGAGGCAGCAGUGGGGAAUUUUGCGCAAUGGACGAGAGUCUGACGCAGCAACGCCGCGUGGGUGAUGAAGGUCUUCGGACUGUAAAACCCUGUCGUCAGGGACGAAGGUGGCACGACUAAUAAUC